AGGGAAUAUUGCGCAAUGGAGGAAACUCUGACGCAGCGACGCCGCGUGGGUGAUGAAGGUCUUCGGAUCGUAAAGCCCUGUCGGAAGGGACGAAAAACGAGCGUGAUAAUACCGCGCUCGCUUGACGGUACCUUCAAAGGAAGCACCGGCUAACUACGUGCCAGCAGCCGCGGUAAUACGUAGGGUGCAAGCGUUGUUCGGAAUCAUUGGGCGUAAAGCGCGUGUAGGUGGCUAGUUAAGUCGGGUGUGAAAUCCCUGGGCUCAACCGAGGAAGUGCAUCCGAAACUAAUUAGCUAGAGAGUGGUAGAGGAAGGUGGAAUUCCGUGUGUAGAGGUGAAAUUCGUAGAUAUACGGAGGAAUACCGGUGGCGAAGGCGGCCUUCUGGACCAUUUCUGACACUGAGACGCGAAAGCGUGGGGAGCAAACA
RNAcentral lists this ribosomal RNA (427 nucleotides) under uncultured bacterium. Its description in RNAcentral is "bacterial SSU rRNA". It matches the Rfam family "Bacterial small subunit ribosomal RNA", at positions 356 to 774 of the family's 1533-position model. The record is from RNAcentral.